AUUGAACGCUAGCGGGAUGCUUUACACAUGCAAGUCGAACGGGUGGCGGACGGGUGGGUGAUAGAUCGGAACGUGCCUAGCAGCGGGGGAAAACUACGCGAAAGAGUGGCUAAUACUGCAUAAUAUUGGUGCGGCUGGUGUUGGAUUAGGUAGUCGGUGGGGUAUAGGGUCACCAAGGCAACAAUCCGUAGCUGGUUUGAGAGGCAGACCGGACACACUGGGACUGAGACACGGCCCAGACUCCUACGUGAGGCAGCAGUAGGGAAUUUUGGACAAUGGGGGAAACCCUGAUCCAGCCAUCCCGCGUGUAUGAGAAGGCCUUCGGGUUGUAAAGUACUUUUGGCAGAGAAGCGGUAUCUGCAGAAUAAGCACCGGCUAACUACGUGCCAGCAGCCGCGGUAAUUG
RNAcentral lists this ribosomal RNA (405 nucleotides) under uncultured bacterium. Its description in RNAcentral is "partial 16S ribosomal RNA". It matches the Rfam family "Bacterial small subunit ribosomal RNA", at positions 30 to 527 of the family's 1533-position model. The record is from RNAcentral.